Molecule: ribosomal RNA, 460 nt
Filed under: uncultured bacterium
Lineage: Bacteria
Description: partial 16S ribosomal RNA
Rfam family: Bacterial small subunit ribosomal RNA
Source: RNAcentral
CCUACGGGUGGCAGCAGUGAGGAAUAUUGGUCAAUGGGCGCGAGCCUGAACCAGCCAAGUAGCGUGAAGGAUGACUGCCCUCCGGGUUGUAAACUUCUUUUAUAAAGGAAUAAAGUGAGGCACGUGUGCCUUUUUGUAUGUACUUUAUGAAUAAGGAUCGGCUAACACCCGGCAAGCAGCCGCGGUAAUACGGAGGAUCCGAGCGUUAUCCGGAUUUAUUGGGUUUAAAGGGAGCGUAGAUGGGUGGUUAAGUCAGUUGUGAAAGUUUGCGGCUCAACCGUAAAAUUGCAAUUGAUACUGGCAGCCUUGAGUACAGUUGAGGUAGGCGGAAUUCGUGGUGUAGCGGUGAAAUGCUUAGAUAUCACGAAGAACUCCGAUUGCGAAGGCAGCUUACUAAACUGCCACUGACAUUGAUGCUCGAAAGUGUGGGUAUCAAACAGGAUUAGAUACCCCGGUAGUC